GAUGAAGAACGUAGCGAAAUGCGAUACGUAAUGUGAAUUGCAGAAUUCAGUGAAUCAUCGAGUCUUUGAACGCACAUUGCGCCCCCUGGUAUUCCGGGGGGCAUGUCUGUCCGAGCGUCAUUGCUGCCCUCAAGCACGGCUUGUGUGUUGGGCCUCCGUCCUCCUCCCGGGGGACGGGCCCGAAAGGCAGCGGCGGCACCGCGUCCGGUCCUCGAGCGUAUGGGGCUUCGUCACCCGCUCUUGUAGGCCCGGCCGGCGCUUGCCGACACAUCAAUCUUUUUUCCAGGUUGACCUCGGAUCAGGUAGGGAUACCCGCUGAACUUAAGCAUAUCAAUAAGCGGAGGA
RNAcentral lists this unclassified non-coding RNA (345 nucleotides) under soil metagenome. RNAcentral's name for it is "partial contains 5.8S ribosomal RNA, internal transcribed spacer 2, and large subunit ribosomal RNA". The stretch from base 1 to 120 matches the Rfam family "5.8S ribosomal RNA", at positions 35 to 154 of the family's 154-position model. The record is from RNAcentral.